UACAGAGGUCCCAAGCGUUGUCCGGAAUCACUGGGCGUAAAGGGCGCGUAGGUGGUUUGAUAAGGGUGUGGUGAAAGCCCGGGGCUCAACCCCGGGUCUGCCGUGCCGACUGUUAAACUCGAGGGCUGUAGAGGCAGACGGAAUUCCGGGUGUAGCGGUGGAAUGCGUAGAGAUCCGGAGGAAGACCGGUGGCGAAGGCGGUCUGCUGGGCAGUUUCUGACACUGAUGCGCGACAGCGUGGGGAGCAAACAGG
This 253-nucleotide ribosomal RNA is filed under the name uncultured bacterium. RNAcentral describes it as "partial 16S ribosomal RNA". It matches the Rfam family "Bacterial small subunit ribosomal RNA", at positions 524 to 776 of the family's 1533-position model. The record is from RNAcentral.